Molecule: long non-coding RNA, 1178 nt
Organism: Cyprinus carpio carpio
Lineage: Eukaryota; Metazoa; Chordata; Actinopteri; Cypriniformes; Cyprinidae
Source: Ensembl
CUCAGCUAACGUCCCAGAAACGUCGCGGGCACGUCCUCAAAAGACGUCGCUAGUUAGUCCCAUUGGGGACGUUGUAGCGACGUGAUCAGCUGGUCUCCAGAUAACUUUUCAUAUUAUUCCACUACAUGUAUUAUUAUUAAGAUACCAUUUGAAUAGCCUAUUAUUUGAGAAAUAUACUAAAUUCAUCAAGCAUUUUAAAAGAUGGCAUGAAUUAUUAUUAUAUUUUUAGAUAUAUAAAACAUUUAUCAAAUUAACGACAAAACAAAUAACAAAUAGUUUGCUUAGCAAAUGGUGAUAAUGUUUGUUAAUGACAGAGAUUUAUUGAAAGAGGGCACGUGACAAAUUAACAUUUAAACUAGCAGCGCGCGUCACUUUCUGAGUACUGUAACGUUAAGUGCGCGUGCCCGUCAUUAACGGUCAACUUCCAGCGGACGGACACGGAGGAAAAGGUCCUGACUGCCACCAGUUGAGUCAAUGAUUCAGUGGAGAGACAGUCUGGACAGCAUUAACAAGACAACUAUUACAAAUAGAGACGGGUUUCAAAAACUGACACAACCACAUAUCAUCCAAAUCAUCUCCAAGUGGAUGGCAGCACGGAUCCAGGAUCAAGAGAUCAUUCUUCAUGAAGACUGUUCCAUAGGAAGCAGUGAAUCCUGGGUCAUCCUGACCAUUCUGCUGUCCUGGACGUGAGGAUAUGCUGAAACUGCGUAUCCAGAUAUACAAACAGCCUUCCUGGACCCACACGACUAAAGGCUCCGGAGGAGAGACAGGGAAAGAUGAAAAAUAAGGAAGUCUGGGAACGACUGAAGAAGACAGCAGUGAGGAAAGGAAGUAAUCAUCAGAAUCUCAGAGAAGGAUAUUGACAGUGCAGGCUCAGGAUGAAGAAGAGGAGGAAGAACACGUUUAACAAUUUUCUCAUACCUUUGCCAUGUGUUAUAAUAAAAACAAUAAACCUGACUACAAUAAUAUGCUAAAUGUUAUUAAAAGAUUCCAGUUUGCAAGAAAUCUGGAGUCUGUGACUCUGCACUAGAGGAACUCUUUCCUGAAGAAGAUCAGGUGCUGAGAAGGAGCCUUGUUCUACAGCAAAACACUGCAUCAAGCCUCCUGUCCUUCCCUCAGAAGAGCCUGUCUUCUGCUGCUGGGGUAAUGGUAGGAGCACAUCAGGACCCAGACUAAAG